Molecule: ribosomal RNA, 627 nt
Filed under: uncultured bacterium
Lineage: Bacteria
Description: bacterial SSU rRNA
Rfam family: Bacterial small subunit ribosomal RNA
Source: RNAcentral
GUAAUACCGCAUUAUCUCGUGCUUUGCACGAGGAAUUUCUAAUUUCUAAUGAUUCUAAUUUCUAAUCAAAUCCCAAAUAUCAAUGACUAAAAAACAUUGGUGAUUGGGGCCUCAUUAGAUCAAUUAGAGUAAUUAGGUUAAUUAGGCAUUUCUUGUGCAGAGUGCGAGCAAAGGCCGUAACUGGUCGCCGAGAGAGGAGCCUGCGUCCUAUCAGCUUGUUGGUGAGGUAAUGGCUCACCAAGGCAAUGACGGGUAGCCGGUGUGAGAGCACGAUCGGCCACAAGGUAACUGAGACACGGUGCCUACACCUACGGGUGGCAGCAACUGGGAAUCUUGCGCAAUGGACGAAAGUCUGACGCAGCGACACCGCGUGUGGGAUGAAGCAUUUCGGUGUGUAAACCACUGUGGCGGGGGAGAAAGAUCUGAUAGUACCCCGCUAGAAAGCAUCUGCUAACUACGUGCCAGAAGCCUCGGCAAUGCGUAGGAUGCAAGCGUUAUCCGGAUUUACUGGGCGUAAAGGGUUUCGCAGGCGGAUUGUUAAGUUGUGUUUGAAAGCUGACGGCUCAACCGUUUAGUUGGACACAAUACUGGCAAUCUUGAGGACAUCAGGGGAGACUGGAAUUCUCG